UCCUUGAUUGUGCUCUGAGUAUCUUAAAGAGAAAAAUUAGUGAGAAAGAGUACCAUCAGGCUGUGACUGAGAUCUGCAUCUCAAAUGAAGAUGGACACUUGGUACUGAAGAAUGGUGAAAUGCCUUGAAUUCGAUAUGCCAUCAGGCUGUGACUGAGAUCUGCAUAUCAAAUGAAGAUGGAUAUUUGGUAUUGAAGAAUGGUGAAAUGCCCUGAAUUCGAUAUGAUGAUGAACCUUGUAGAUGUCCAAAGUGCUUGAAGUUUACUGUAGUCACAGAAGGUGGUAAAUAACCAUUCUAGCAUUGCAUGUCGUUCUCUAAAAAUAGUUGGAUGU
Molecule: long non-coding RNA, 332 nt
Filed under: Triticum aestivum (bread wheat)
Lineage: Eukaryota; Viridiplantae; Streptophyta; Magnoliopsida; Poales; Poaceae
Description: long non-coding RNA (TAES_LNC016465)
Source: RNAcentral